AGAACCUGAAACCGUGUGCUUACAAGUAGUCAGAGCCCGUUAAUGGGUGAUGGCGUGCCUUUUGUAGAAUGAACCGGCGAGUUACGAUUUGAUGCAAGGUUAAGCAGUAAAUGUGGAGCCGUAGCGAAAGCGAGUCUGAAUAGGGCGUUUAGUAUUUGGUCGUAGACCCGAAACCAGGUGAUCUACCCUUGGUCAGGUUGAAGUUCAGGUAACACUGAAUGGAGGACCGAACCGACUUACGUUGAAAAGUGAGCGGAUGAACUGAGGGUAGCGGAGAAAUUCCAAUCGAACCUGGAGAUAGCUGGUUCUCUCCGAAAUAGCUUUAGGGCUAGCCUCAAGUGAUGAUUAUUGGAGGUAGAGCACUGUUUGGACGAGGGGCCCCUCUCGGGUUACCGAAUUCAGACAAACUCCGAAUGCCAAUUAAUUUAACUUGGGAGUCAGAACAUGGGUGAUAAGGUCCGUGUUCGAAAGGGAAACAGCCCAGACCACCAGCUAAGGUCCCAAAAUAUAUGUUAAGUGGAAAAGGAUGUGGCGUUGCCCAGACAACUAGGAUGUUGGCUUAGAAGCAGCCAUCAUUUAAAGAGUGCGUAAUAGCUCACUAGUCGAGUGACACUGCGCCGAAAAUGUACCGGGGCUAAACAUAUUACCGAAGCUGUGGAUUGUCCUUUGGACAAUGGUAGGAGAGCGUUCUAAGGGCGUUGAAGCAUGAUCGUAAGGACAUGUGGAGCGCUUAGAAGUGAGAAUGCCGGUGUGAGUAGCGAAAGACGGGUGAGAAUCCCGUCCACCGAUUGACUAAGGUUUCCAGAGGAAGGCUCGUCCGCUCUGGGUUAGUCGGGUCCUAAGCUGAGGCCGACAGGCGUAGGCGAUGGAUAACAGGUUGAUAUUCCUGUACCACCUAUAAUCGUUUUAAUCGAUGGGGGGACGCAGUAGGAUAGGCGAAGCGUGCGAUUGGAUUGCACGUCUAAGCAGUAAGGCUGAGUAUUAGGCAAAUCCGGUACUCGUUAAGGCUGAGCUGUGAUGGGGAGAAGACAUUGUGUCUUCGAGUCGUUGAUUUCACACUGCCGAGAAAAGCCUCUAGAUAGAAAAUAGGUGCCCGUACCGCAAACCGACACAGGUAGUCAAGAUGAGAAUUCUAAGGUGAGCGAGCGAACUCUCGUUAAGGAACUCGGCAAAAUGACCCCGUAACUUCGGGAGAAGGGGUGCUCUUUAGGGUUAACGCCCAGAAGAGCCGCAGUGAAUAGGCCCAAGCGACUGUUUAUCAAAAACACAGGUCUCUGCUAAACCGUAAGGUGAUGUAUAGGGGCUGACGCCUGCCCGGUGCUGGAAGGUUAAGAGGAGUGGUUAGCUUCUGCGAAGCUACGAAUCGAAGCCCCAGUAAACGGCGGCCGUAACUAUAACGGUCCUAAGGUAGCGAAAUUCCUUGUCGGGUAAGUUCCGACCCGCACGAAAGGCGUAACGAUUUGGGCACUGUCUCAACGAGAGACUCGGUGAAAUCAUAGUACCUGUGAAGAUGCAGGUUACCCGCGACAGGACGGAAAGACCCCGUGGAGCUUUACUGUAGCCUGAUAUUGAAAUUCGGCACAGCUUGUACAGGAUAGGUAGGAGCCUUUGAAACGUGAGCGCUAGCUUACGUGGAGGCGCUGGUGGGAUACUACCCUAGCUGUGUUGGCUUUCUAACCCGCACCACUUAUCGUGGUGGGAGACAGUGUCAGGCGGGCAGUUUGACUGGGGCGGUCGCCUCCUAAAAGGUAACGGAGGCGCUCAAAGGUUCCCUCAGAAUGGUUGGAAAUCAUUCAUAGAGUGUAAAGGCAUAAGGGAGCUUGACUGCGAGACCUACAAGUCGAGCAGGGUCGAAAGACGGACUUAGUGAUCCGGUGGUUCCGCAUGGAAGGGCCAUCGCUCAACGGAUAAAAGCUACCCCGGGGAUAACAGGCUUAUCUCCCCCAAGAGUUCACAUCGACGGGGAGGUUUGGCACCUCGAUGUCGGCUCAUCGCAUCCUGGGGCUGUAGUCGGUCCCAAGGGUUGGGCUGUUCGCCCAUUAAAGCGGUACGCGAGCUGGGUUCAGAACGUCGUGAGACAGUUCGGUCCCUAUCCGUCGUGGGCGUAGGAAAUUUGAGAGGAGCUGUCCUUAGUACGAGAGGACCGGGAUGGACAUACCUCUGGUGUACCAGUUGUCGUGCCAACGGCAUAGCUGGGUAGCUAUGUGUGGACGGGAUAAGUGCUGAAAG
RNAcentral lists this ribosomal RNA (2229 nucleotides) under Staphylococcus aureus. RNAcentral describes it as "partial 23S ribosomal RNA". It matches the Rfam family "Bacterial large subunit ribosomal RNA", at positions 545 to 2777 of the family's 2925-position model. The record is from RNAcentral. Lineage: Bacteria; Bacillati; Bacillota; Bacilli; Caryophanales; Staphylococcaceae.